RNAcentral lists this ribosomal RNA (433 nucleotides) under uncultured bacterium. RNAcentral's name for it is "partial 16S ribosomal RNA". It matches the Rfam family "Bacterial small subunit ribosomal RNA", at positions 29 to 507 of the family's 1533-position model. The record is from RNAcentral.
AACGAACGCUGGCGGCAUGCCUAACACAUGCAAGUCGAACGAGACCUUCGGGUCUAGUGGCGCACGGGUGCGUAACGCGUGGGAACCUGCCUUUAGGUUCCGAAUAACUCAGAGAAAUUUGAGCUAAUACCGGAUGAUGUCUUCGGACCAAAGAUUUAUCGCCUUUAGAUGGGCCCGCGUUGGAUUAGCUAGUUGGUGGGGUAAAGGCCUACCAAGGCGACGAUCCAUAGCUGGUCUGAGAGGAUGAUCAGCCACACUGGGACUGAGACACGGCCCAGACUCCUACGGGAGGCAGCAGUGGGGAAUAUUGGACAAUGGGCGAAAGCCUGAUCCAGCAAUGCCGCGUGAGUGAUGAAGGCCUUAGGGUUGUAAAGCUCUUUUACCCGAGAUGAUAAUGACAGUAUCGGGAGAAUAAGCUCCGGCUAACUCCGUG